CCCACAAUGCACAGCGACAGAGGGUAUAUUUUUGGCACGUGACUUCCGCUCUCUCCUUCUCGCUCUUGAUCCUGUGAGAUGUCUUACACGUGGUACAUGUCGUCCAUGUCGAGUUCUCGUACAGCUGACCUCGGGAUGAGGGCCUCCCAGUGGAAUGAAAUCAGAGCCGUAGACGUGGGAUGAAACGAACAAACUACUUUGUGUCCUUGGAAAUAGCAUUACUUUGCAACUGCUGGCCACGUCGCGAUAUCAGUAGUGACUCUCAAUUUGAACUCAAGUGGUAAAUGCAGCAGUUGACUGGCUUUGGGCAGGCCCGGCUUCAGUGACUUGGGCCCCUGCUGACUGGGGGAUUCCCUUUCAGUGAUUUGGGCUAAGUGUGGUGAUUGGAGACUCUUUCCAUACUCCAGAGGCGACUUGGAUUGUGCUGUUUUUUUGUCCUGUCACAGAUUUUUUUUACAAGUAUGUCUUGUAUCUGUUAAUUAAAUUGAAUGUGUCAAAUGUU
Hippocampus comes (tiger tail seahorse) is the source of this 502-nucleotide long non-coding RNA. RefSeq lists it as uncharacterized. The transcript is spliced from 6 exons. Lineage: Eukaryota; Metazoa; Chordata; Actinopteri; Syngnathiformes; Syngnathidae. The record is from RefSeq and is a predicted model, not a curated record.